Molecule: ribosomal RNA, 431 nt
Filed under: uncultured bacterium
Lineage: Bacteria
Description: partial 16S ribosomal RNA
Rfam family: Bacterial small subunit ribosomal RNA
Source: RNAcentral
CCUACGGGAGGCAGCAGUGGGGAAUAUUGGACAAUGGGGGAAACCCUGAUCCAGCGAUGCCGCGUGUGUGAAGAAGGCCUGCGGGUUGUAAAGCACUUUCAGUUGGGAAGCGUUACUAACAGAAGAAGCACCGGCUAACUCUGUGCCAGCAGCCGCGGUAAUACAGAGGGUGCGAGCGUUAAUCGGAGUGACUGGGCGUAAAGGGCACGUAGGCGGUUAGAUUAGUCUGAUGUGAAAGACCUGGGCUUAACCUGGGAUGUGCAUUGGAAACGGUCUAGCUAGAGUUUGGGAGAGGGAAGUGGAAUUUCCGGUGUAGCGGUGAAAUGCGUAGAGAUCGGAAAGAACACUCGUGGCGAAGGCGGCUUUCUGGCCAAACUGACGCUGAGGUGCGAAAGCGUGGGGAGCAAACAGGAUUAGAUACCCUUGUAGUC